This 407-nucleotide ribosomal RNA is filed under the name Verrucomicrobiota bacterium. RNAcentral's name for it is "Verrucomicrobia bacterium partial 16S ribosomal RNA". It matches the Rfam family "Bacterial small subunit ribosomal RNA", at positions 355 to 776 of the family's 1533-position model. Lineage: Bacteria; Pseudomonadati; Verrucomicrobiota. The record is from RNAcentral.
UGGGGAAUAUUGGACAAUGGAGGAAACUCUGAUCCAGCAAUUCUGUGUGUGUGAAGAAGGUUUUAGGACUGUAAAACACUUUUAGUAGGGAAGAAAAAAAUGACGGUACCUACAGAAGAAGCAACGGCUAAUUCCGUGCCAGCAGCCGCGGUAAUACGGAAGGUCCAGGCGUUAUCCGGAUUUAUUGGGUUUAAAGGGAGUGUAGGCGGUUGGUUAAGCGUGUUGUGAAAUGUAGAUGCUCAACAUCUGACUUGCAGCGCGAACUGGCUGACUUGAGUACACACAACGUAGGCGGAAUUCAUGGUGUAGCGGUGAAAUGCUUAGAUAUCAUGAAGAACUCCGAUUGCGAAGGCAGCUUACGGGAGUGUUACUGACGCUUAAGCUCGAAGGUGCGGGUAUCGAACAGG